UUUUAAAUAGCCGCAGAAUUAUUUCUGUGCUAAGGUAGCAUAAUCAAUAGUCUUCUAAUUAAAGAAUAGAAUGAAUGGUCAAACGAAUUUUAAACUUACUUAUUUAUAAAUAAUAAAACUAUUUUAUAAGUAAAAAAACUUAUUUUAAAAAGAAAGACGACAAGACCCUAUCAAACUUUACUAAAGUUAUGCUGGGGAAGUAAAUUAACAAAAUCUUAAUAAUUUUUACAAAAAAUAACCUUAUUGAUUUAUGAACAAGUUACUGUAGGGAUAACAGCAUAAUAAAUUUUUAAAGCUCGUAUUUACAAAUUAGUUUAUGACCUCGAUGUUGAAUUAAUUCCCUAACCAAAGUAAAAAAUUGUUAAGGAAGACUGUUCGUCUAUUAAAAAAUUACAUGAUUUGAGUUCAGACCGGUGCAAGCCAGGUCGGCUUCUAUCUUCUUUUAUAUAAUUUUAGUACGAAAGGACCAAAUUUAAUUUAAUUUUUAAAAAUUGGCAGAUUAAUGCAUUAGAAUUAGAAUCUAAUUAUAGAAAAAAUUAACUUUAUUAAUUCCUUAAUCAUUUUAAUUUCAAUUUUAUUAAGAGUAGCAUUUUAUACAAUACUAGAACGAAAAAUUCUAAGCUAUAUUCAAAAUCGUAAAGGUCCUAACAAAGUAGGAUUCUUAGGAUUACUUCAACCGUUUAGAGAUGCCUUAAAAUUAUUCAAUAAAUCAUACGCAUUUCCCAUUCCCACAAAUUUAAAUUUGGCAUUAAAUUUUCCUGCAAUUAGAUUUUUUUUUGCAAUUAUUUUAUGACCCCUACUCCCUUUGGCAAAUUUUAAUAUCU
RNAcentral lists this ribosomal RNA (824 nucleotides) under Azanialobus sp. 1 NCP-2017. RNAcentral's name for it is "partial 16S ribosomal RNA". The stretch from base 1 to 460 matches the Rfam family "Bacterial large subunit ribosomal RNA", at positions 1921 to 2925 of the family's 2925-position model. Lineage: Eukaryota; Metazoa; Arthropoda; Arachnida; Araneae; Orsolobidae. The record is from RNAcentral.